Schistosoma rodhaini is the source of this 45-nucleotide non-coding RNA. Lineage: Eukaryota; Metazoa; Platyhelminthes; Trematoda; Strigeidida; Schistosomatidae. The record is from Rfam.
AUCCAGCUGACAAGUCCCAGAUGGGACGAAACGCGCGUCCUGGAU